AUCCUGAGUACGACGGAGCACGUGAAAUUCCGUCGGAAUCUGGGAGGACCAUCUCCUAAGGCUAAAUACUCUCUAGUGACCGAUAGUGAACCAGUACCGUGAGGGAAAGGUGAAAAGCACCCCGGAAGGGGAGUGAAAUAGAACCUGAAACCGUGUGCUUACAAGUAGUCAGAGCCCGUUAAUGGGUGAUGGCGUGCCUUUUGUAGAAUGAACCGGCGAGUUACGAUUUGAUGCAAGGUUAAGCAGUAAAUGUGGAGCCGUAGCGAAAGCGAGUCUGAAUAGGGCGUUUAGUAUUUGGUCGUAGACCCGAAACCAGGUGAUCUACCCUUGGUCAGGUUGAAGUUCAGGUAACACUGAAUGGAGGACCGAACCGACUUACGUUGAAAAGUGAGCGGAUGAACUGAGGGUAGCGGAGAAAUUCCAAUCGAACCUGGAGAUAGCUGGUUCUCUCCGAAAUAGCUUUAGGGCUAGCCUCAAGUGAUGAUUAUUGGAGGUAGAGCACUGUUUGGACGAGGGGCCCCUCUCGGGUUACCGAAUUCAGACAAACUCCGAAUGCCAAUUAAUUUAACUUGGGAGUCAGAACAUGGGUGAUAAGGUCCGUGUUCGAAAGGGAAACAGCCCAGACCACCAGCUAAGGUCCCAAAAUAUAUGUUAAGUGGAAAAGGAUGUGGCGUUGCCCAGACAACUAGGAUGUUGGCUUAGAAGCAGCCAUCAUUUAAAGAGUGCGUAAUAGCUCACUAGUCGAGUGACACUGCGCCGAAAAUGUACCGGGGCUAAACAUAUUACCGAAGCUGUGGAUUGUCCUUUGGACAAUGGUAGGAGAGCGUUCUAAGGGCGUUGAAGCAUGAUCGUAAGGACAUGUGGAGCGCUUAGAAGUGAGAAUGCCGGUGUGAGUAGCGAAAGACGGGUGAGAAUCCCGUCCACCGAUUGACUAAGGUUUCCAGAGGAAGGCUCGUCCGCUCUGGGUUAGUCGGGUCCUAAGCUGAGGCCGACAGGCGUAGGCGAUGGAUAACAGGUUGAUAUUCCUGUACCACCUAUAAUCGUUUUA
Molecule: ribosomal RNA, 1048 nt
Filed under: Staphylococcus aureus
Lineage: Bacteria; Bacillati; Bacillota; Bacilli; Caryophanales; Staphylococcaceae
Description: partial 23S ribosomal RNA
Rfam family: Bacterial large subunit ribosomal RNA
Source: RNAcentral